UACGUAGGUGGCAAGCGUUGUCCGGAAUUAUUGGGCGUAAAGCGCGCGCAGGCGGCCCCUUAAGUCUGAUGUGAAAGCACCCGGCUCAACCGGGGAGGGCCAUUGAAAACUGGGAAGCUUGAGUAUAGGAGAGAAGAGUGGAAUUCAACGUGUAGCGAUGAAAUGCGUAGAGAUGUGGAGGAACCCCAGUGGCGAAGGCGGCUCUUUGGCCUAUAACUGACGCUGAGGCGCGAAAACGUGGGGAGCAAACAGG
This 253-nucleotide unclassified non-coding RNA is filed under the name uncultured Caryophanales bacterium. RNAcentral describes it as "uncultured Bacillales bacterium contains 16S-23S intergenic spacer region". It matches the Rfam family "Bacterial small subunit ribosomal RNA", at positions 524 to 776 of the family's 1533-position model. The record is from RNAcentral. Lineage: Bacteria; Bacillati; Bacillota; Bacilli; Caryophanales.